GAUGAACGCUGGCGGCAUGCCUAAUACAUGCAAGUCGAACGAGAGGAAGGAAAGCUUGCUUUCCUGAAUCUAGUGGCGAACGGGUGAGUAACACGUAGGUAACCUGCCCAUGUGCCUGGGAUAACUUCUGGAAACGGAUGCUAAAACCGGAUAGGUAGCAGACAAGCAUUUGACUGCUAUUAAAGUGGCCUUGGCCAUGAACAUGGAUGGACCUGCGGUGCAUUAGCUGGUUGGUGAGGUAACGGCCCACCAAGGCGACGAUGCAUAGCCGGCCUGAGAGGGCAGACGGCAACAUUGGGACUGGGACACGGCCCAAACUCCUACGGGAGGCAGCAGUAGGGAAUUUUCGUCAAUGGGGGGAACCCUGAACGAGCAAUGCCGCGUGAGUGAGGAAGGUCUUCGGAUCGUAAAGCUCUGUUGUAAGAGAAAAACGGCACUCAUAGGGAAUGAUGAGUGAGUGAUGGUAUCUUACCAGAAAGUCACGGCUAACUACGUGCCAGCCGCCGCCGUAA
This 512-nucleotide ribosomal RNA is filed under the name uncultured bacterium. Its description in RNAcentral is "partial 16S ribosomal RNA". It matches the Rfam family "Bacterial small subunit ribosomal RNA", at positions 28 to 523 of the family's 1533-position model. The record is from RNAcentral.